This 440-nucleotide ribosomal RNA is filed under the name uncultured bacterium. Its description in RNAcentral is "partial 16S ribosomal RNA". It matches the Rfam family "Bacterial small subunit ribosomal RNA", at positions 355 to 787 of the family's 1533-position model. The record is from RNAcentral.
UAGGGAAUCUUCGGCAAUGGACGAAAGUCUGACCGAGCAACGCCGCGUGAGUGAAGAAGGUUUUCGGAUCGUAAAACUCUGUUGGUAGAGAAGAACGUUGGUGAGAGUGGAAAGCUCAUCAAGUGACGGUAACUACCCAGAAAGGGACGGCUAACUACGUGCCAGCAGCCGCGGUAAUACGUAGGUCCCGAGCGUUGUCCGGAUUUAUUGGGCGUAAAGCGAGCGCAGGUGGUUUAUUAAGUCUGGUGUAAAAGGCAGUGGCUCAACCAUUGUAUGCAUUGGAAACUGGUAGACUUGAGUGCAGGAGAGGAGAGUGGAAUUCCAUGUGUAGCGGUGAAAUGCGUAGAUAUAUGGAGGAACACCGGUGGCGAAAGCGGCUCUCUGGCCUGUAACUGACACUGAGGCUCGAAAGCGUGGGGAGCAAACAGGAUUAGAUACCC